UGCUGUAAAUGUAAAAUGAGUUGAUCAAUACAAGGAUUUGGGAAUUGCGAGGUGAAAGGAAAUGAUAUGGAAAUGGAGGUGUAUGAAUCUGAUUGAGAAGAACUGAAGCUAAGGAUGUUAUUGUUGAAAACUUGUUAGGAAUGAAGAUGUAAGUUAGAUGUAGCUUAUAGAAAUGUGUAUUGUUAGAAUGGUGUGUGUAACUGAAUUGUUUUUAGCAUAGAGUAUCUUUUCAUUUCA
Molecule: long non-coding RNA, 237 nt
Organism: Papaver somniferum (opium poppy)
Lineage: Eukaryota; Viridiplantae; Streptophyta; Magnoliopsida; Ranunculales; Papaveraceae
Exons: 2
Source: RefSeq, a predicted model, not a curated record